Molecule: ribosomal RNA, 465 nt
Filed under: Vreelandella stevensii
Lineage: Bacteria; Pseudomonadati; Pseudomonadota; Gammaproteobacteria; Oceanospirillales; Halomonadaceae
Description: partial 16S ribosomal RNA
Rfam family: Bacterial small subunit ribosomal RNA
Source: RNAcentral
CCUACGGGGGGCAGCAGUGGGGAAUAUUGGACAAUGGGGGCAACCCUGAUCCAGCCAUGCCGCGUGUGUGAAGAAGGCCCUCGGGUUGUAAAGCACUUUCAGUGAGGAAGAACGCCUGGUGGUUAAUACCCAUCAGGAAAGACAUCACUCACAGAAGAAGCACCGGCUAACUCCGUGCCAGCAGCCGCGGUAAUACGGAGGGUGCGAGCGUUAAUCGGAAUUACUGGGCGUAAAGCGCGCGUAGGUGGCUUGAUAAGCCGGUUGUGAAAGCCCGGGGCUCAACCUGGGAACGGCAUCCGGAACUGUCAAGCUAGAGUGCAGGAGAGGAAGGUAGAAUUCCCGGUGUAGCGGUGAAAUGCGUAGAGAUCGGGAGGAAUACCAGUGGCGAAGGCGGCCUUCUGGACUGACACUGACACUGAGGUGCGAAAGCGUGGGUAGCAAACAGGAUUAGAUACCCGGGUAGUC